CUGCGCCACGAGUGGCAAUCGCGUUUAUUGGGCCUAAAGCGUUCGUAGCCGGAUAGGUAAGUCUUGAGUGAAAUCGUUGCGCUUAACAAAACGACGUGCUUGAGAUACUGUUUAUCUUGGGACCGGGAGGAGUCUGGGGUAUUUCUGAGGGAGCGGUAAAAUGCUAUAAUCUCAGGAGGACCACCUGUGGCGAAGGCGCCAGACUAGAACGGGUCCGACGGUGAGGAACGAAAGCUAGGGGAGCAAAACGGAUUAGAUACCCGCGUAGUC
This 270-nucleotide ribosomal RNA is filed under the name uncultured archaeon. RNAcentral describes it as "partial 16S ribosomal RNA". It matches the Rfam family "Archaeal small subunit ribosomal RNA", at positions 477 to 746 of the family's 1478-position model. The record is from RNAcentral.